UACGUAGGUGACAAGCGUUGUCCGGAUUUACUGGGCGUAAAGAGCGCGCAGGCGGUCGUUCAAGUCGAGUGUGAAAGCCCCCGGCUCAACUGGGGAGGGUCACUCGAUACUGAUCGACUCGAAGGCAGGAGAGGGAAGUGGAAUUCCCGGUGUAGUGGUGAAAUGCGUAGAUAUCGGGAGGAACACCAGUGGCGAAGGCGGGUCUCUGGGCAGUAACUGACGCUGAGGAGCGAAAGCGUGGGGAGCGAACAGG
RNAcentral lists this ribosomal RNA (253 nucleotides) under uncultured bacterium. Its description in RNAcentral is "partial 16S ribosomal RNA". It matches the Rfam family "Bacterial small subunit ribosomal RNA", at positions 524 to 776 of the family's 1533-position model. The record is from RNAcentral.